This 254-nucleotide ribosomal RNA is filed under the name uncultured bacterium. Its description in RNAcentral is "partial 16S ribosomal RNA". It matches the Rfam family "Bacterial small subunit ribosomal RNA", at positions 524 to 776 of the family's 1533-position model. The record is from RNAcentral.
UACGUAGGCAGCAAGCGUUGUUCGGAGUUACUGGGCGUAAAGGGUGUGUAGGCGGUUGUUUUAAGUUUGGUGUGAAAUCUCCCGGCUCAGCUGGGAGGGUGCGCCGAAUACUGAAUGACUAGAGUGCGGGAGAGGAAAGUGGAAUUCCUGGUGUAGCGGUGAAAUGCGUAGAUAUCAGGAGGAACACCGGUGGUGUAGACGGCUUUCUGGACCGUAACUGACGCUGAGACACGAAAGCGUGGGUAGCAAACAGG